Non-coding RNA from Rattus norvegicus (Norway rat), 9511 nucleotides. The record is from RefSeq and is a predicted model, not a curated record. NCBI's taxonomy places the organism in Eukaryota, Metazoa, Chordata, Mammalia, Rodentia, Muridae.
GGGUUCACCUAAAGUUCUGUAAACGAGUACCCAAGUUGCCAUCAAAGUGCACAGCAGCUAAUGUAGUAAUGGUCCUCCCCAGGCAAGGUGUGGGGACACAGUUCUGAAGGGUGAGGGGUCAGCCUUCUAGAAAUGAGAUCAUAGAAAGGUCUGAGGAUCCCAAAGGGAGGCUAGGGUCUAGCAGGUUGUGAAAGGUACAGGGAGGGACCUUUACAGCCUUACAGCCUGAGGGGGAGCAUUUUGAAGUUUUGUUGGGCGUUGGGCAGUAGUGGUUGGAGAUUGGCCAAACAGGAAGACAGAGGGGAAAAGACAAGAGUAUCAGGUAGAACAGUGUUUUGGAACAAGGUAAAGCAUCCCCAGGAUCCCAACAUACAGAAAUAAUGAGUGUUUGGGGAAAUGGGAAAGCUAAUUCAUCUAAUUUGAUCUUAUACACAGUAUGCCACAUCCCGAACUGUUCAAGUGGACGCCAUAAUAUAUACAAAUAGCGUGUGCCCAUUAAAAUUGGAAAAUGAUGCAGGAGAAAAUUAUGUCACAACAUGGGAAGUAGAGAGGGGGCUAAAAGCAGAACAAGAAGAGACCUGAGGACUAAGCACGGGGUAGGUCAGCACUUGGGGCUGUCAGCAAAGGGGCAGGCAAUGAGGCAAGUGAGGCCCUGUCGUAGUGUGACCCUUAAAGCACAAGGACUAUUUGGUCCGCUUUGUAGUUUGGCCAAGACCUCUCAUCACUGACAAAAUACGCAACACAGCAUCUAAGAAAGAAGAAAUUAGCUGGGAGGUGAUGACAUACGCCUUUAAUCCCAGCACUCAGGAGACAGAGACAGGCAAAGCUCUGAGUUCAAGGCCAGCCCGCUUUACAGAUCAAGUUUCAGGAACCCAAGGGCUAUACAAAGAGACCCUGCCUUGAAAACAGAGAGAUUGAUUUUGGGCUUUCAGUUUCAGGAGUUUGAGUCUACAAUGGCGGGAAAGAGUUGAGAGGGGAUCCACUCACACUGUGGUGGCCAGAAGCUGAGGGGAUGCCUAAGGUAGAAGGCUCCUUCUCUAGAAGGGUGGGAAGGUGCCACCCACACUGAAGAGGUGAUUUCCCCCUAGUUACCCCUGUGUGGAAACAUCCUCAGACAUUCACACACAACUAUACCAAUCCCCUAGGCACCAUCAAGUUGUCAGUCACUGGUAAUUAUCCUGAGCUGAAUGUGCUGGGACAAACCUGCGAUCCCAGCAUAUUGGGGAAGAGGACAGGAGAAGCCAUCUUGGGCCAUAGAAGGAGACCGGGUCAAUAAAGAAUUGUUGCAGUCUAAGUUGACGUCUAGGUCGUAAUAUAAUUACUUUGGGCUCCAAUGGAAACAAUCGGCUGCAACGGAAGGACUAGUGGAGCAUUCAAAGCAUUGUUCAGAGGGAGGAUGCACACUGGCCUUAGGAGCUGCUGUCGUACAAGUCCACUGGGAAGAUACUGAGCAGUUUCAGUACCCUGCAACCAGGGGUGAAACACGAAAGCCCGAGAAAGAGGGAAGAGGAAGAGUGGUUGAUGACUGUAAAUAUAUGCAAAUAUCUUAAGUCGUUUUGCUGUAGUUUGUAGCAGGAAAAUGACGAGGACUGGGUGGUUGGCAGGACAGGCAAGUGAAAACUGUGUACAGAAGAGUACAGUCAUUUUACCGAGUGGGGAUGACCGACGGAAAGAAAGAAAGUAAAGAUGACCUUAGGGAUAAAGGACCGCGCUGUGAUCGACUUUCUGCACACCCUGCUUUUCUUCCAUUAAAUUAAAAGUGCUCCGAAUGAAUUUCUUCACUGUGAUGAGUUAACGUUGUAUGUUAGAACAAUUUUUAUUCAUAUGCAUAGUUCAUCUACUUAUUCUACUUUCUCAGAGAUCUCGAAACAUCAUGGACACCUAUGCCUGCCCCACAGGCAGGGAAAGGGAGGGGUUAGUGUGGUAGCUGUGAGCCAUUUUACAUGGAGGGCCUGGCCGCUCCUUCAGGGUCAGGAGGAAGGGCAGGGAAUGGAGCACAGAGAGGUGAGUAAGCCGGCUCAGGAAUGUGAGCUGUGGUGGGGUGUAAAACGGCGUGGUUUCUACUACUUGUCUUUAUUUUCUCAGCAAAGUAGGCAACUCAGUCAUCAACCAAGAAGGGUUAUGUAGCAGACUGGAAGAGAGAAGACGGUGACUGAAACAGCCACCCAGAAAUAUGGGAGAAUAGAUGGGCUAGGGAGGAUUCCACUUCCGGGAAACACUGAGAGAGCACCAGGAGAGCUUCCGGGUUUCUCCAGCUGCAUUCAGCAUCACUAUAAGAGCAGAGCAGGAGAGCUGGAUUCAAGCACAGAUGGAAGUCACAGAUGAGAAGUCAGUGUGCUGCAGAAAAGGUACAGACGGUGAAGCUGUGCGCCAAACGACCAGGGCAAUCCAAGCCGAGUAAACAGAGAAACGAGGAUAUGACGGGACACCGAGAUGGUGGCAGACAGUCUGUCCUGGUAGGUGACAGUUGGCAUGUCAUGGGGACACUUGGGCUGUCCUAUUGAGAGCUGUACAUACUGAGGACCCCACAGCUCCUGCUUGCAGUCUUAAAAGUGUCCUUGCACAGAAUCGCUGCUUCUCGACCCACUCAAGUCUUACUUUCUGAGGAAAGACUCUGAUCCGGAGCCCAAAUGCUAAAGCACUCCCAGAUUCUGAGCGCUCAGAAACUGUAGAGAGAUAAAGAUUGUUGUUUUAAGUCCAUACAUGUUCAGUGGUUUCUUUUUUUAAAUUUAGCAACAUAUACCUGAGAAGGCUCUCCAACAAAGUGUCCUGUAACCAACCAAGUUGGUAGGAGUCUUCUCUCUUAUCCAUGAAUUCUGUGUCGGCUAAUUUCACCAUUGCAAAUGGGAAAUGUUUCUUUAACUUUCGUAAUCAAUCUUGACACUAUUUCCUAAGUGACUUAAUACAAUAAAACUUUUUAUGUGAAGCUAGAGACUAUUUAAAAUACAAUGUGUGUGUGUUUGUGUGUGUGUGUGUGUGCGCGUGCACAUGCACGUGCACAGAUUCUAUGCAAAACUACAUUAUAAUGAGGGGAUUGAGCAUCUGUGGACUUUGGUGGUUAUACGGAUUGUGAACUCAAUUCUCCAUGGGCAACAGCAGACAAAUUCAUCCUCUAGCCAUCUUAGGAAGCAAUACCUCUUAUUACUGUGUGGUACUCUGAAUAGGAAGUGUUUCCCCAGGCACCUGUGUGUUUGAACACUUGGUCUCAGCUGGUGGCAAUAAAUGGGAAGGUUUUUGAACAUUUUGGGAGUAAGGAGGUCAGGACCAUGUGGAAGCAAGAGUCACUGGUGGGGAUCUUGAAGGUGAUAAAUCCUUCUGGGGCCAACCUCGACUCCUAAUGAUGCUAGACCUAGACAGACUGCAAGCUCCCACCAUGUGGAUGAGCCAUCCCAGUGGUCACACCCUUCCCACCAGGGUGAACUAUACACUCUGAAACUUAAAACCAAAAUCAACCUCUCCUUCCUUGUGGCCACUGCCAGGUAUUCUGUCACGGCAAGGAGAAAAAGCUAAUUAAUACAAGGAAGGCUCUUGAGAAGCCCUGCAGCACAGAAACCAAGUAUUUCCUGUUUGUAAUAUAAUUCUAAACCCACUUUAGGAAACGUCAUCUGCAUCCCAUGGAAGGGGGUUGAGAUACUUUGACCUGUAACAGUGUAAAUCCCUAACAGUUAUAGUCACAAGUUUCCAAAUGAGCAUAUAGGAAAAAAUACCAAGACCCACACCUCAGCGGGGCCUACUGAAACAACUGUCAUCCUAGACCCUGGGAGGUGAGGCAGAAGGAUCAGUAGUUCAAGGUUACCCUUAGCUAAAUUACAAGUUUGAGGUCUGAUACAGCCAACCCAGUAACCAAGAAAACAAAAGAGCUAACACUCCAAAUCCAGUACACGUAAAUGCUUGGGUCUCUACUGCGUGGUGCGCAAAGCAGGUGGAGACUUUAAAAGUAUUAAUGCCAUAGACAAAUGGAAUCAACUAGAUGUACGUCAACAGUUUGGCAGAUUUUAUAUACAUAUAGCAUAAUGUUAUAGUAUAACAUAUAUAUAUACAUAUAUACAUAUAUAUGGAUAAUACUCAGUUUUAAACAAAAAUGAAGUUUAAAACUUUUCAGGAAAUAAGGCUUGGCAAUAGUACAUGUCUUCAAUCCUAGUACUCAGAAGGCAGAAACAGAUUUCUGUGACUACAUAAUGGAGUCCAGUCUGGACUACAUAAUGGAGCUCCAGAUCAGCCCGGGCUGCUCAGUUAAGAUGGUCUCAAAAGAAAAAAAAGAUGUAGGGGAAUAGGUAAACUUUGAAUAUAUAAUAUUGAGGCACAAUGUCAGAAAAAUAAACCAUCUAGCCAAAAAUAUAUGCAUAUAUGUAUAUAAAUGGGGGGAUUAAAGUGUAACAUGAAGAAAAGAAAGCAAGAAGGGCUGAACAUACAGGGCGAGGAGGGACUGGCUGCAGACAAUGGCUGUGAACCAUGAAGAACAGAUAAAGCUGAUGCCUUUCUAGUUCUGAUCUGCUUGUGGAUUUUUUUCUUUUUCCUUCUGGUUUUGGUUUUGGUGGUAAAUUUUUUACAGAAAAUAUAUUAGAUACUGAAAGUAAAACUCAGCGUGAGGAGACUGGAGAGAUGGCUCAGUGUUUAAGAUCACAUACUGCUCUUCUGAAGGACUCAAGUUAGAGUCCCAGCACUCAAGUCCAGUUCUCACAACAGCCGUAACUCUAGUUCCAGGGGAUCGGACUACUCUGGCCUCUGUGGGCACACACACUCGCGUGCACAUAAUUUAAAAUAACAAAAGAAAAUUUGAAUGUGAACCUCUCUAUCUUCCCUUCGGAAUGCCAAUUCUUACUGUGUAGAAGUUCAUUGAGUCUGACUGAUUCUAGUGUGUGUUUUUUAUUUAUUUAUUUGCGAGUUGUUUUAUAAUGAAGUUUAUGAAGUUUUAAAAUUAUAGUAAUGUUAUAAAAUACAUUCAGACAACAUCUAGGGGGAUCGUAAUAGGUUAAAGGGGAUGAAAAUGUGAAAAGCAAGUAAAAUCAAUAUAAUAUUUGAAUCUUCAUUGACUUUUUGGACCAGGAAAAGUAAUCUUGUAAAGGACAGUAAUAAGGCAAUUUGAGGAAAUUAAAAGUGUGGAGUUAAUAUAAAUAAUAUUAUUGCAUUGAUGUCAAAUUAGCUGAGUCUGAAAAGUAUAGCAUGAUUAAGUAAGAAAUGUUCUUUUUCUUGGGUGGUUUAUGCUGAAAUUAUAAAGCUAAAGUGUCAGGAAAGUGUCAGGACAUGUAUAGCUCUGAAAUGAUUCAGGAAAAGCACGUAUGUGUAUCUGUAUCUCACUUCGUGUAUAUGUAUUAUAUGUAUAGAUCUCUGUGUGUGGCCUGUGUGCAUACAUGUGUAUAUGUAUAUGUGCUUAUUCCUUUCUAAUAUAUAUGUUUCCUGAGAGCACAAAUAAUGCUUCCUUCAUUUGACUAUAAUAUAUCCUCAUGAUAUUUUUUCAGAGUAAGUAAUUUAUAUUUUUCUUUUUUCUAGAUUUCCUUCUUUCUCUUUCUUUUCUUUUCUUUCUUUCUUCCUUCCUUCCUUCCUUCUUUCUUUUUAAGUAAGUUUACAUGUGGGGCUCUUCUCGUAUUCCUAGGUGCCAGUGUCUUCAAGCUAUCAGCUAGACACUCCCACCCACACAUCACAUGAUGGUUGUCUCCACCAUGAGCCUUCCCCCAGAGUUUGGCUUGUGCCUAGGUAUCACCGAGCUGCAAUGGAUAGUGUUGAAAAGUCUUCUUCACAACUUCAUGCCCACCUAGACACACAGAAUGUAAUCUUACUGGGAAACGGGACAUCUGCAGGUUGCAAUUAGCUAUGUUCGAAUGAGGUCAUACUGAGUUAGUGAGGAUCCUUACAGACAGAUACAACAGACACAUGGGCGCAGAAGAAGCACACCACGUGAGGCCAAGGGCAGACACUGCGGCAAGCAUCUGCAAGACGAAGAACACCCAUGAUCCCUGGCAACCAGCAGGAGCAAGGGAAGAACCAAACAAACAAACAAAAAAAGCAACAACAAAAAAAACCACAUAGUCUUUUCCCAGAUUUUCAAGGAAAUGGCUGGACGGUGACAUUAGGAUUAAGACAGUGAUUUUUCUGUUAUUCUGAACCACUCUCUUUAUGAAAACUGUUACCUGGCAGCUGAGGACACAAUAUUUAUAAAGUUGUACCAAUUUGCUAGGCAGACCCUUUCCAGACCAGCCUCAACUCUAGGCCUGUAAAUCCACCCCAGACUCUGGCCCUGUGAGUCAACUGCAGAGAGUGACAGAGCAAAGAUCGUUGAUAACAGAUUCCCGGCCCACUAAGCUGCUGGACAGGGGCUGUGUGUGUGUGUGUGUGUGUGUGUGUGUGUGUGUGUGUGUGUGUGUGUGUGUGUGUGAUCCUUCCAGAAUAUUUGCAUUUUAAUAAGAUACUUAGCCAUUCGACACUCAUCCCCACAGUGUCCAUUUGCCCUCGUGAUUUACCAAGUGCCCACUGAGUGCUGGGGCCGUGCAGCAGGCCAGCGAGAGCACUAUUUUAAGACGCACCAGCAGGCCUCCUCUGAAAGCUUCAGAUCACACCCUGGAGAUCUCCACCUACUCUUUCAGUGAGCUCAGAGACCGUGGUGGACACUCUUCCUGGGGAACACAAUAACAGGGAUGCCUCUCACUGAACAAAAGGGUGCUCUAGAAAAGGCAUGCUCGGUGCGAGCACGGUUUGGGGAGGAAUAAACAAGGACCGGAAAGGAAGAUGAGUAACCAGUCGUAUAACCAAUCCGGCAGCCUCCGGCUAAGCAAUCAGUGGAAAAUUCCCCAGUACUGCUCUCUCCCAGCUUCGUUCUUAGCUCCUUUACCUCAUGUCCCUUGACCUUCUGUCCACCUCCCUCAGUGUAUGCUGCAAAGUGUAUGUUCUUUACCACUCGUUCGUGUGGCUUUUCUAGUCAUCUUAUAUUCUCCCCGUGGAUUUUGGCAUCUGGUUCCUUUGGUCUCAAUUACCACCCAGUAUAUGCGGAUGUCUCCCAAUGUUUCACAAAGAACCAGAACUCUGUCCUAAGCUGCACACCAUUAAACCUGACUGCUUUCGAGAUAACUCCCCUCGGAUGUUCCACAAACACCUCAAAUUCAGUGCCUCAAAAAACCAAACUCACUAGCCUCACCACCAAAUGCAUUUUCUAUCACCGUUUAUUAUGUUAUUUAUAUAAGAAAUUGUGUGUAACAAGGUUAAUAUCCACACCAUAGUGUCUUUGUUUGUCAUAAGCAUGGGAUCUUUGAGGUUCAAGGACAAACUGAGAUCUUGGCGUCUUGGAUUUGGUGAAUUUAGUUUUCAUGUCUACCGUCUUCGUUUUGUUUUGUUUUGGUUUUUUGACGUAGGGUUUUUCUGUUUAGCCCUGGCUGACUAGAACUUGCUCUGUAGACUAGGCUGGCCUCAAACUCAGAGAUCUGCCUGCCUCUGUUGUCUGAGUGCUAGGAGAGACUGUAGUCUUAACUUUAAAAGGUUACUUUCAUUUUUCCAUGAACCGUUAUCCUUCAAUCCUCUUAUAAAAGACAAGGGACAGCCUGUUUCUUUUAUUCUUUUUUAUUGAAAUCUCUCCAGGCUGCAUUGUAAUGUAAAUCAGAACUCAGUAAAAAUAAAAUAAAGUCAUGCACAUUAAAAAUAAAAAUAUUAUGUGAACUAAGGAAGAAAAAUACUUAUUACUUAACUAAAUUGAUCUUUUAAAAUCAUGAUCUAAGAUGCUCAAAAGAACAUAAAUACUAGUGAGGGAAUAAAAUUAUAUGAUCCUUCCUCCAUAGCAAGGGAGACAAAAGUUUGAUUUUCCUCAUUUUGAGACCGUUAUUUCUCUUUUUUUUUAAAUUGAAUAUUUGAUGUAUUUACAUUUCAAAGGUUAUCCCCUUUCCCCCUCUCCCAUCCCGGACAGCCUGUUUCUAACAGUAAAGCUCUGCUUGCCUCAAUGAUGACCCCUCAAUACGAGGUGAAAAUCAUGCUCUAGGUGAAUGGUCAACAGGCUACAAAAUGCUUGUGAUUGAGACUAGAAAGGAAGGUUUAAACUACUGUGUACAACACAGUCGAGACAAGUUUUCUCCGUGUAGUCCUGGAUGUGCUGGGAUUCGCUCUGUAGAACAAGAUGGCCCCCAGAGGUAUACUUACCUUUCCCUCCUGAGUUCUGGGAUUAAAAAUGCAUACCAUCAUUGGCCGGCUGUAGUUGAUUUUGACAUGGGAUCUCACCACACAGUCCAAGCCAGCCUAGAACUCACAGAGACCCACCUGCCUCUGUCUUUCGAGUGCUGGGAUUAAAGGCACAAGCCAUCACGCUCAUGACUUUUGACUCUAGGACAACAAUAAAAGCAUAAUGAGGGUCUGAAGAGUUGCCUCAGUGGUUAAGAGCAUUCUCUACUCACUCCAGAGGACCUGAGUUCAGUUCCUAGCAUUCACAGUUACAACCUCCUGUGCCAGGGGAUCCGACUCCUCUUCUGCCCUCCUCAGGAACCUGCACAUAUGUGGACUCACAUGAGCACUCAUCCAUGUUUGUUUGUUUGUUUGUUUGUUUGUUUGUUUUUGAGGUAAGGUGUCCUCUAUGUAUCUCUGAUUGUCCUGAAACUCGAUCUGUAGACCAGGCUGGCCUCAAACUCAAAGAUCUGCCUCCCUCUGCCUCUCAAGUGCUGGGACUAAAGGCGUAUGCCAUCACCACCCGACAACAUACAUUUUUAAUUUUUUUUAAAAAGUUUGAGCAGAAUAACCAGAUGAUUAUUAUAGACUGACACCAUCUGCCUUGACUCCUUGAAAUUCCAUCAAAGGACACAUUAAUGUAGAAACUAAGUGGAACGAAAUAAACUACAGAAGACAACCUUAGAAAUGGAAGCUGAGGGAAGCUAUCCAUGGGACACUGGAGAUCCGUCCUGGAACAGUUAAGAACUGGUGAAGGGGCUGGGGAUUUAGCUCAGUGGUAGAGCGCUUACCUAGGAAGCGCAAGGCCCUGGGUUCGGUCCCCAGCUCCGAAAAAAAGAACCAAAAAAAAAAAAAAAAAAAAAAACUGGUGAAAGGCACACCAGAGCUGGAAGGAGGCUUUUAUGAAAAUGCUGUAAACUGUAUUACGAGAUGUAAACUAGCAAAGGCCUUUGAUAGGCUUCAGGCUGGGGAGUGACAUGAUCAGAAUUAUGUUUUAUUUCUCAUUUCAACAAGCAAAUCUAUUAGAGCCCCAGGAGAACAGCAGUGAGAUUACUGACGUGGAAGUCCUUCUCCUGUCCAUCCACAUGAUGAUGCGGUCUGGGCUGUGUCUAUAUGGGUGUGAUCUCUCGGUUUGCUGCUCCAGCUGCCAUGACUGCCUGCUGCCGUGCUUCUCCACUGCGAUGGUGAUCAGCUCUUAUUCCUCUGGAAACAAAACCUAAAUAAACCCUCCAUUCUGUAAGUUGCUUUGGUCAUAGUGUCCAAUCACCUCUACAGAAAAGUAACUCAUACACCUAAUAAUCCAUUCAGUCCCACUCGCUACUCUGUCUUGAAAACAUUCUCAAUAAACACCCCCAAAUUAAUGCUUAACCACAUU